AUGAGCGGCGGGGCGUCGCUGGGGCUCAGGACGUCCGGGAGCUAUGGGUCCCUGCAGCAGCCCAACGGCCAGUCCCCCUCCCCGUCGCCGCCGGUGGCGGUCCGGAAGCCCGGGAAGAUGUCCCUCGGCGGCGGCGGCCGCGGGGGCGAGCGCCUCCUCUUCGCCCGGAUCUGCAUGUUCGCGGGCCGUCGCCGCCGGAUGCUCCUGCUCCUCCUCGUCGCCGUCGCUCUCGUCGUCUGCUUCCUCUUCUCAUCACUUGUCAGUAAAGAUGAAGUUGCAGCACCUGGCACCGAGACCAUGCUGGGAUUAUCUGAUCAUGUCCGGAGCUUUGUAAAUCCUGUAUGGACAUCUUCUUUGAGUGGAAAUGAUUUGAAUACAACAUCACCAACAGUAAAACAGCCGGACAUCAGUCAUGAAAAGGUUCAGGGUCUUUCACGGAGUUUCCCGCCAGCUAUUCACCUGGAGCACCAUCCUUGUGAAAAUUUCUCAUUUUCUCCUCCACCUAUUGAUAGGAAACGUACUGGACCACGGCCAUGUCCUGUUUGUUAUGUGCCUGUUGACCAGGCCCUGGCAUUGAUGCCAGCUGCUCCAACAGCAUCACCUAUCCUUCAAAGUUUAAAUUAUUUGUCCGAAGACAAUUUGGUACUCAAAGAGUCCAACAGUGGUUCUUUGUUUGGUGGUUAUCCAUCUCUGGGACAACGAGAUAUGUCUUUUGACAUAAAAGACUCGAUGGCAGUACAUUGUGGAUUUGUGAGGGGGAAGAUACCUGGUAUCAAUACUGGAUUUGAUGUAGAUGAAGCUGAUCUGUCUGAGAUGCGGCAGUGCCAGGGGACAGUUGUUGCUUCUGCUAUUUUCGGGAAUUAUGAUAUAAUGCAACAACCAGAAAACAUCAGUGAAUUUUCAAAAGAUACUGUUUGCUUCUUCAUGUUUCUGGAUGAAGAAACAGAAGCUGCAAUAAAGAACACCACUGCUGUUGAUAAUACGGAAAAAAUCGGGCUGUGGCGGGUGGUUGUUGUCCACAACCUUCCUUAUUCGGAUGCAAGGCGGAAUGGAAAGAUAACAGAUCCAUCCGAGACGAACAUGUUCCCAUUCUUUUCUGCAUUGGAUGAGUAUGUGAAAAUUUGGAUUGCACAACCAGGAGAGGAGGAUGCCAUGCUUAAUAUUCCAAAACUAUUACUUCAUCGGCUCUUUCCUAAUGCGCGGUAUUCACUCUGGAUCGAUGGGAAACUUAAACUUGUGAAGGAUCCUUAUCAGCUAUUAGAGAGAUUCUUAUGGAGGAAAAAUGUGAGCUUCGCUAUUUCCAGGCAUUAUAGACGCUUUGACGUCUUUGAGGAAGCUGAGGCGAACAAGGCUGGUGGGAAGUAUGAUAAUGCUUCAAUCGACAACCAAAUAGAGUUCUACAAGAGAGAGGGCUUAACCCAUUAUUCAUCAGCUAAGCUUCCUAUUACAAGCGAUGUCCCUGAGGGCUGUGUAAUAAUAAGAGAGCACAUACCCAUCACCAAUCUCUUCACAUGCCUUUGGUUUAAUGAAGUUGACCGCUUCACCUCAAGAGAUCAGAUAAGCUUCAGCACAGUGAGGGAUAAAAUAAGGUCAAGAGUUAAUUGGACUGCAGACAUGUUCCUGGAUUGUGAGAGGCGCGAUUUUGUUGUUCAGGCAUACCACAGAGAACUCAUGGAGCAAAGGCUGGCUGCCUUACGGAGCCAGCCUCCGCCGCCUCCGCCUCCACCUCCACCGCCCCCUCCCGUGGUGCGUGUGCAGCAACCUCGAAAGAUGCUCCCAGACAGCGCAUCAAAGGAACCUGGGAGAGCUUCCAAGAAGCCAGCAGGGAGGCGCUCACGGAAAUCAGGCUCAAAACGGUCCCAUCGAACGAAAGCCUCCAGCGGGAAGGAACCCAUUCGACUGUAA
RNAcentral lists this ribosomal RNA (1905 nucleotides) under Triticum aestivum (bread wheat). RNAcentral's name for it is "partial small subunit ribosomal RNA". The record is from RNAcentral. Lineage: Eukaryota; Viridiplantae; Streptophyta; Magnoliopsida; Poales; Poaceae.